UUCAAGGAAGCCAAGUUGCAAGACCCUGCUCUGCUUUGCUACAUGAAAAUUUUAGUUGCAAGAUAUAUCAUUUCAUAAACCCUAUCACACAUUGCUCGGUGCAUCCUUGGGAUUAUAACAUUAUGAAGGUAAGACUACCUGACUUAAUAAGGCCUAAUCAACAAUAUAUGGAGACUUGCUCCUACCGCCUCAUAUCAAUUUAAUUUGUUUUUGCUGCAGCUGGAUUCCGGCCAAACUGGACAAUUAUUGGUUUGCCUUUGAAUACAUAUCCAUUUACGAGGUUCUGCAAGGAAGGAGAAUCCAAUUGAAUACUACAUGAGCAGUCCAUCACUGCUACCAAAGACAACAAAGAAUUGAUAG
RNAcentral lists this long non-coding RNA (360 nucleotides) under Gossypium raimondii (Peruvian cotton). RNAcentral's name for it is "long non-coding RNA (GRAI_LNC005742)". The record is from RNAcentral. Lineage: Eukaryota; Viridiplantae; Streptophyta; Magnoliopsida; Malvales; Malvaceae.